UGCCGCUUCGCCUCAGAGGAAAUAGCGAGCAGCGCCUGCAGGGAAGAGUUCUAAUUAGCAGCUUCGCUUCGCUUUAAUCGGCCAAGGCGGCGUGCGAAGGCGUAUUCCCCCUCUACGUCUGUCCGCACAACUGCCCUGCGAGGUAGGCCAGGUUGAGAGAUUUUGUCGUCUUCAUUCCCUGCCGUGUAGUUAUCUCUUCAGACGCCACAGCAUGGCAACCCCCUUCCGGAGGGAUACGGAUUUUAAACAGUGUGUGGGUUUAUUUCACUGUCAUAUAUCUCAUCUAGACAUAGUGCAAGUUGCUGAAAUGUGACCUAGUUGUAGAGUUCUCUCUUAUAACGAUUAGUGAUAAAGUUGUUUUUUUUUUUAAUUAUUAUUAUUAUUAUUAUUAUUAUUUAUAUAACGUAGGAAUGAAUAACCCCUGGCACAGGUCUGAUGCAGCACUCCCAGGAUUUUUUUUCCUGCACCCCAUAAGAUAAGACCCCACAGAUCUUGGUGGCAAAUACAUUGCACCAGGUUGGGCAGAUCAAACCUCUCCACCAAGCCCAGCACCCCAAUGUAAGUCCAUGAUCAUCAGACUGAUCAUUUGAUGGCCAGGAUGAAGUAACAACCCUUCACUUGGAUAAACUGAGGAGCUGUGUAAGAGUGUUAAAUGGCAACACCCAACCAGCAUGAGAAAUAUGGAGGUUUGGCCAAUGGGGAAUAUGGUAAUCGUGUGUGUUUGUAGAUACAUAUUUCUAGUAAUCAGAUAAGAGGGCAGACAAAGCAAAGUACUUUCCACAACACAUUGAAAAUUAACUUUGAAAUUCACUACCACAAGAUGAUUUGACAAGGGGAUUAGAAAAAUUCGUGGAGGAUAAGGCUACUAGCCACAAUGGCUGCCUCCACUGAUGGAGACAAUAUGCCUCUGAAUACCAAUGGCUAGUAAUCACAAGCAGGAAAAGCGCUGACUAUUGCAUUCAGGUUCUGCUUGUGGGUUUCCUAUAGGCACCUUGGCAGCCACUGUGAACCGAAUGCUGGACUAGAUGGCCCAAGGGCUUGAUCCAGCCAGGACUUUUGUUUUUUAUAUACAUGUUUUUAUUCAUUUUUAGGUCAACAGAAUUAUACAACCAACAAAGAACAUUACAACAUAUUAGUCGACACAACAUGCUACAAGAAUAAAAGUUAUGAAUGUUCCAUAUAUCUGUAUUGGCUUAAUUCAAGAAACC
Molecule: non-coding RNA, 1208 nt
Organism: Podarcis lilfordi (Lilford's wall lizard)
Lineage: Eukaryota; Metazoa; Chordata; Lepidosauria; Squamata; Lacertidae
Source: the annotation of a GenBank genome assembly